This 818-nucleotide ribosomal RNA is filed under the name Psychrobacter sp. GSNN7_I. Its description in RNAcentral is "bacterial SSU rRNA". It matches the Rfam family "Bacterial small subunit ribosomal RNA", at positions 76 to 890 of the family's 1533-position model. Lineage: Bacteria; Pseudomonadati; Pseudomonadota; Gammaproteobacteria; Moraxellales; Moraxellaceae. The record is from RNAcentral.
UAGCUUGCUAGAAGAUGACGAGCGGCGGACGGGUGAGUAAUACUUAGGAAUCUACCUAGUAGUGGGGGAUAGCUCGGGGAAACUCGAAUUAAUACCGCAUACGACCUACGGGAGAAAGGGGGCAACUUGUUGCUCUCGCUAUUAGAUGAGCCUAAGUCGGAUUAGCUAGAUGGUGGGGUAAAGGCCUACCAUGGCGACGAUCUGUAGCUGGUCUGAGAGGAUGAUCAGCCACACCGGGACUGAGACACGGCCCGGACUCCUACGGGAGGCAGCAGUGGGGAAUAUUGGACAAUGGGGGAAACCCUGAUCCAGCCAUGCCGCGUGUGUGAAGAAGGCCUUUUGGUUGUAAAGCACUUUAAGCAGUGAAGAAGACUCUUCGGUUAAUACCCGGAGACGAUGACAUUAGCUGCAGAAUAAGCACCGGCUAACUCUGUGCCAGCAGCCGCGGUAAUACAGAGGGUGCAAGCGUUAAUCGGAAUUACUGGGCGUAAAGCGAGCGUAGGUGGCUUGAUAAGUCAGAUGUGAAAUCCCCGGGCUUAACCUGGGAACUGCAUCUGAUACUGUCAGGCUAGAGUAGGUGAGAGGAAGGUAGAAUUCCAGGUGUAGCGGUGAAAUGCGUAGAGAUCUGGAGGAAUACCGAUGGCGAAGGCAGCCUUCUGGCAUCAUACUGACACUGAGGCUCGAAAGCGUGGGUAGCAAACAGGAUUAGAUACCCUGGUAGUCCACGCCGUAAACGAUGUCUACUAGUCGUUGGGUCCCUUGAGGACUUAGUGACGCAGCUAACGCAAUAAGUAGACCGCCUGGGGAGUACGGCCGCA